RNAcentral lists this ribosomal RNA (497 nucleotides) under uncultured bacterium. Its description in RNAcentral is "partial 16S ribosomal RNA". It matches the Rfam family "Bacterial small subunit ribosomal RNA", at positions 28 to 507 of the family's 1533-position model. The record is from RNAcentral.
GAUGAACGCUGGCGGCGUGCUUAAUACAUGCAAGUCGAGCGAACAGACGAGGAGCUUGCUCCUCUGACGUUAGCGGCGGACGGGUGAGUAACACGUGGAUAACCUACCUAUAAGACUGGGAUAACUUCGGGAAACCGGAGCUAAUACCGGAUAAUAUAUUGAACCGCAUGGUGCAAUAGUGAAAGACGGUUGUGCUGUCACUAAUAGAUGGAUCCUCGCCGCAUUAGCUAGUUGGUAAGGUAACGGCUUACCAAGGCAACGAUGCGUAGCCGACCUGAGAGGGUGAUCGGCCACACUGGAACUGAAACACGGUCCAGACUCCUACGGGAGGCAGCAGUAGGGAAUCUUCCGCAAUGGGCGAAAGCCUGACGGAGCAACGCCGCGUGAGUGGUGAAGGUCUUUGGAUCGUAAAACUCUGUUAUUAGGGAAGAACAAAUGUGUAAGUAACUAUGCACGUCUUGACGGUACCUAAUCAGAAAGCCACGGCUAACUACGUG